CUUCUGCACUGCCAUAGUAGAAGUUUCCCAAGAGGCUCUGCCUCUGCAAGAGGCUUCUGCCUGGAAACAGUAGGCGGUGGUGUGUAGGCGGUGGUGGAUCCUUCACCAGUGGUUAAUCUUCUUGAUGCUGAUCUGAAAGUGAGUUCUCAUGUGAUCUGGUUAUAUAAUGGGCUGUGGCACCUCUUUUCUCUCUGUGUCUUGCUUCUAUUUCUGCCAUAUGAAACAUCUCAUUGCCACUUGGCCUUCUGAUGUGGUUAGGAGGGGCCUGAUCAGUGUGGGCCUGCUCAGUGGACCUAGUCAGUUGGGACUUGGUCAGUGAGGCCUGUUUAGUGGGAGCCUGGCCAGCAGGGGUCUGCUUAGGGAGGGUCUCAUUAGGGGGAUCCAGUAGUGGGGGUUUUGGCGAGUGGGGACCUAUUGGCAGCCAGUUGUUUGGUGUCUGGUCAGUGCAAACCUGGGCUGUGGGGCUUGACCAGUGGCGACCUGGUCAGCUGGGCUUAGUGGUGGCCUGGUCAGCAUGGGCUGGGUCACUGGUGACCAGGUCAAGGGCUGCUAUUCAGUGGUGGCCUGGUCAGCAUGGGGUGGGUCACUGGUGACCAGGUCAAGGGCUGCUAUUCAGUGGAGGACUGGUCACAUGGGACCUAGUCAGCAGGGCCUGGUGGGCGUGUCCUCAUCAGUGAGGCCCUUGUCGGUGGGGCCCUGAUCAGGGAAGCCUGGUCAGUGGAACCUCAUCAGUGGGGGCCUGGUCAGUGAGGACUUGGUCAGUGGUGGCUUUUGUACCACUGGUCUACGGGGUAACCUGGUCAGCGGGGACCUGAGCAGUCGGUGCCUGUUCAGUGGGGCCUACUCACUAGAGUCCCAGUCAGGGGCAUCUGGUCACCUCAGGCCUGGUUAGUAGGGGCCUGAUCAGUGGCAGCCUGUUCCCUGGAGGCCUGGUCAGUGGGGCCUCAUCUGUGGGGCCAGGUAGUGGGGUCAUGAUCGGUGGAAUCUGAUCAGUGAGGCUUUGUCAGUAAUGACCUAGUCAGUGAGGCCUUGUCAGUAAGGACCUGGUCCAUGAGGCCUUGUCAGUGAGGCCUUGUCAGUAAGGACCUGGUCCGUGAGGCCUUG
This 1104-nucleotide long non-coding RNA is filed under the name Pan troglodytes (chimpanzee). RNAcentral's name for it is "long non-coding RNA NONPTRT010758". Lineage: Eukaryota; Metazoa; Chordata; Mammalia; Primates; Hominidae. The record is from RNAcentral.